GUCUGCUUACCAUGCAAGUCGAACGGUGUCUUCGGACACAGUGGCGGACGGGUGAGUAACGCGUGAGAAUCUACCUUCAGGUCGGGGAUAACCCCUGGAAACGGGGGCUAAUACCGGAUAGGUCGAAAGAUGAAAGGUUAACUGCCUGAAGAGGAGCUCGCGUCUGAUUAGCUAGUAGGUGUGGUAAGAGCGCACCUAGGCGACGAUCAGUAGCUGGUCUGAGAGGAUGAGCAGCCACACUGGGACUGAGACACGGCCCAGACUCCUACGGGAGGCAGCAGUGGGGAAUUUUCCGCAAUGGGCGAAAGCCUGACGGAGCAAGACCGCGUGGGGGAGGAAGGCCUUUGGGUUGUAAACCCCUUUUGUUAGGGAAGAAAAAAAUGACGGUACCUAACGAAUCAGCCUCGGCUAACUCCGUGCCAGCAGCCGCGGUAAUACGGAGGAGGCAAGCGUUAUCCGGAAUUAUUGGGCGUAAAGCGUCCGUAGGUGGCCCGGCAAGUCUGCUGUCAAAGACCACAGCUCAACUGUGGAAAGGCAGUGGAAACUGCAAGGCUAGAGUGCGGUAGGGGUAGAGGGAAUUCCCAGUGUAGCGGUGAAAUGCGUAGAGAUUGGGAAGAACACCGGUGGCGAAAGCGCUCUACUGGGCCGCAACUGACACUGAUGGACGAAAGCUAGGGGAGCGAAUGGGAUUAGAUACCCCAGUAGUCCUAGCUGUAAACGAUGGAAACUAGGUGUAGCACGUAUCGACCCGUGCUGUAUCGGAGCUAACGCGUUAAGUUUCCCGCCUGGGGGAGUA
RNAcentral lists this ribosomal RNA (796 nucleotides) under Kamptonema animale dr727. RNAcentral's name for it is "bacterial SSU rRNA". It matches the Rfam family "Bacterial small subunit ribosomal RNA", at positions 42 to 882 of the family's 1533-position model. Lineage: Bacteria; Bacillati; Cyanobacteriota; Cyanophyceae; Oscillatoriales; Microcoleaceae. The record is from RNAcentral.